UUUGUUCUGACACAAUAACAUAACCUCAACUCCCCUUUAUUUUAGAGUAGUCCUGCAAGUCAUUUCUCCUUUCUUUUCCUUAUGUGCAACACGAAUUGGGUUUCUUUGCCUAACACAACAUGCACAAGCCAAAGAGCUAUUUGUAUAUUUUGUUGAGUUUGGCAGUACCAACUUCAUGGCUGAAGCUUCUCCCAUGUUUUAAUCUCAAAGUUCAGCCACGAAUCCAUGCUUGACCUUUUUUUUUGGCUUUUUGUUGUUUCCUAUAUACUUGUGGCAGACUUCCACCAAAAUGGGUUUUGUCUUUACCCAUUAUGUGUUUAGAGUCCUUCGGAUAAAAAAAAUAUUCAUCUUUGGUUCUGUAUUGACUUGACAGGAAGGCUUUUCCCUUGUUCUUGGCUUAUGUUGCUUUCGGGUUCUUCAACAGCCGCAACACAGGAGGCUUCUUGACUCAUAUCAUUUGAGAGGGCCACCGUACUGCCAAUUGAGGUGCUGGCUUUGCUUUGUCUCAGUUGCUUCAUGUUUUGCCAGCAACAAAGUGAGAAGCUUUUAUGAUAUUUGCAUUUUGCUACAAAGGAGUGUUGGCUUAAUAAUUUUCGUGGGCUGUCUGGCUUGGGAUUUUUUCUUUGUUGGCAAACUUUGAAGCACAGAAUGUGGGUGUGAAUCAUCAGCUUUUCACGUUUUGCCACCUGUUCUUUCUCCAAUUUGCAGAUUUGGAAUUUUACUCUGCUGAAGGUGGGUUGGGCAUGUAAUGAAACGUCUGGACUGUUGAUGUUUUCUGUUUUUGGUACUCAAGAACACUCGCAAGGUCUUCUCUGAGUACCACAAUGUGCCUGUGGACACUCACAAGGUGUUCACAGCACUUGUACAGUGGGGUUCUUGCAGAAGCCCAUCUGUAAUUCACAACAGAGAGGUCCUUGUGAGAGCUCUCUUUGUGUAAGUAGCACAAUUAUUGCCAAUUUGGGAGGAUUUGUUCAUAUUUUUCCACUGCUGAGAUCUCUGUUGAUAUGAUACAUUUCUUGAUAUCAAACUUGGAGGAAGCUCAGGCUUCUGUACAAUGG
Molecule: non-coding RNA, 1058 nt
Organism: Prunus mume (Japanese apricot)
Lineage: Eukaryota; Viridiplantae; Streptophyta; Magnoliopsida; Rosales; Rosaceae
Source: RefSeq, a predicted model, not a curated record